GACGAACGCUGGCGGCGUGCUUAACACAUGCAAGUCGAACGGAAAGGCCCUGCUCUUGUGGGGUGCUCGAGUGGCGAACGGGCGAGUAACACGUGAGUAACCUGCCCUUGACUUUGGGAUAACAUCAGGAAACUGGGGCUAAUACCGGAUAGGAUCUCCUGCUCCAUGUGGGUGGUUGGAAAGUUUCGGCGGUUGUGGAUGGAUUCGCGGCUUAUCAGCUUGUUGGUGUGGUAGUGGCUUACCAAGGCUUUGACGGGUAGCCGGCCUGGGAGGGGGACCGGCCACAUUGGGACUGAGGUACGGCCCAGACUCGAACGGGAGGCAGCGGUGGGGAAUAUUGCACAAUGGGGGGAAGCCUGAUGCAGCAGCGCCCCGUGCGGGAUGACGGCCUUCGGGUUGUAAACCGCUUUGGACUUUGACGAAGCGUGAGUGACGGUAAUGGGUAAAGAAGCACCGGCUAACUACGUG
RNAcentral lists this ribosomal RNA (468 nucleotides) under uncultured bacterium. RNAcentral's name for it is "partial 16S ribosomal RNA". It matches the Rfam family "Bacterial small subunit ribosomal RNA", at positions 28 to 507 of the family's 1533-position model. The record is from RNAcentral.